UGCUGACGACCGGCGCACGGGUGCGUAACGCGUAUGCAACCUACCUCAUACUGGAGGAUAGCCCCUGGAAACGGGGAUUAAUACUCCAUAGUAUCACGAAUUCGCAUGUUUUUGUGAUUAAAGUUUUUCGGUAUGAGAUGGGCAUGCGUCCCAUUAGCUUGUUGGUGAGGUAACGGCUCACCAAGGCAACGAUGGGUAGGGGGCCUGAGAGGGUGGUCCCCCACACUGGUACUGAGACACGGACCAGACUCCUACGGGAGGCAGCAGUGAGGAAUAUUGGUCAAUGGAGGCAACUCUGAACCAGCCAUGCCGCGUGAAGGAUGACGGCCCUAUGGGUUGUAAACUUCUUUUAUAGAGGAAGAAACUUGUCUACGUGUAGACAACUGACGGUACUCUACGAAUAAGGAUCGGCUAACUCCGUGCCAGCAGCCGCGGUAAUACGGAGGAUCCAAGCGUUAUCCGGAUUCAUUGGGUUUAAAGGGUCCGUAGGCGGGUCUUUAAGUCAGUGGUGAAAGCCGACAGCUCAACUGUCGAACUGCCAUUGAUACUGGAGACCUUGAGUACAAAUGAAGUAGGCGGAAUGAGUCAUGUAGCGGUGAAAUGCAUAGAUAUGACUCAGAACACCGAUUGCGAAGGCAGCUUACUAACAUGUAACUGACGCUGAGGGACGAAAGCGUGGGGAGCGAACAGGAUUAGAUACCCUGGUAGUCCACGCCGUAAACGAUCAUCACUCGCUGUUGGCGAUAUACUGUCAGCGGCCAAGCGAAAGUAUUAAGUGAUGCACCUGGG
This 789-nucleotide ribosomal RNA is filed under the name uncultured Bacteroidota bacterium. RNAcentral describes it as "bacterial SSU rRNA". It matches the Rfam family "Bacterial small subunit ribosomal RNA", at positions 86 to 877 of the family's 1533-position model. The record is from RNAcentral. Lineage: Bacteria; Pseudomonadati; Bacteroidota.